AAGAUAUUAGUAUAAGCUAGUACUUAACUUUGUCAAAGUUAUAGCAUAGAUUAACCAUCUAUAUAUCUUA
This 70-nucleotide transfer RNA is filed under the name Potamogale velox. RNAcentral's name for it is "tRNA-Asp". Lineage: Eukaryota; Metazoa; Chordata; Mammalia; Afrosoricida; Tenrecidae. The record is from RNAcentral.